RNAcentral lists this long non-coding RNA (4765 nucleotides) under Malus domestica (apple). RNAcentral describes it as "long non-coding RNA (MDOM_LNC016351)". The record is from RNAcentral. Lineage: Eukaryota; Viridiplantae; Streptophyta; Magnoliopsida; Rosales; Rosaceae.
UUUUUUUCAUGCAUAUUACCAUUCUUCAUUCUAGAUUUGAUUCGCUUAGUAUUAAAAGCUGAUGCAGGGAUUAAUAUCUCAUUGUACCACUGCAGCUAUUACCACAGUUGUCACAAUUGCAGAGAUUCUCAAAAACAAUAGAUUUUCUGUUGAGAAAAGUAAGACAUCUACUUUUAUUUUCCCCCUUUCAAAAUGAAACAAUCAAAUUAUUAAGUUUACUUAUAUUCAACAACCUGAAUACAGAAGUCAUAAGAUCAAUUUUUAACAUAAAAGAUGACUAGCGAGAGACCAGUCCAAAAGGCCAAGUUAUUCCAAUGUGAUACUCUAAUAUCAAAUAGAUAUUCAUUUAUCCUCAAUAUACAAAAUGAGUUCCAACCAAUGUUUUAAAAAACUAACCUCGGGGGCGCCUAGGGCGCCUUUGAGGCUGGGUGCGAAGGCUAAUGCCUUUGUUUUGCUGGAGUGGGCGGAAGGCAUAGUCGGAGCCGCCUAGGCGCGCCUCAGGGGAUUUUUUAUUUUUUUAUUCCCAACCCAUUUUGGGUAGGGUUUUAACUGCCUCAUAACUCUUCCUUGCACUAUCGUCUCUCUGCCUUUUUCUGAUUUUUAUUUUUUUUAUAUAAUGGAUGUGUGUGCUGUCUGCGUGCAUUGUUAUAUAUAUAUAUAUAUAAUAUAAUAUAAUAUAUGUGUAUAUAUAUUUAUAAUAUAUGUGUGUGCUUAGGGUGAUUAUUGAUUAAUAAUCUUUUUUAAUAUAAUAUAUGUGUAUGGUCAGUGUAUAUAUUAAAACAUUUAGGUCUCGUGAGGCUUCAUCUCACGCCUCACGCCUAGGCUGGGCUAUCUCUUGGACGCCUCACCCACGCCUCACGUUUUUAAUACAUUGGUUCCAACUCAUUCUAAAAUGUCUGUUUACAUUUCUUUAAAAAACUAAGUAAGAUGUUAUUAGUGAAAGGAUGUGGUUUAGAGUAGACAUCCUUUUCAUUCUACCAAUACAGUUAUCAUUUCAUGUCUGCGUUUGCAUCCUUUAUAGUAUAAAUUUCUUCAUAUCUAAAUUCAUUGCAUUUUUUUAUAUUUUGCCUAAGCUGAGAGAACUUAUUGGGAGGAGAAAAAGAAAAGGUAGAGAGUAUAUUUUUUUUUUAAAGAUUGUUGCCGUUAGAAUCUAUUAUUUCUCUUUCACUCUAUUUACAGAUUUAUUUGAAAACUUGCAGGAAGAAACAAUGAGGUUGUUGAAGUGCAGAAUGAAUGUUUACUCUACUACUAGGCUGGACCACCUGGUGAAAUUUUCAUUUCGAGAUGUAUAUAUGUGUUCGUGACUUUUUUAUGCUUCGGACAAAAUUUGAGUUUUAACAUUACAACUAAAUGUCCAUAUACAUUUACUCUACUACUAGGCUGGAUCACCUGGUGAAAUUUUCAUUUCGAGAUGUAUACAUACGUUCGUGACCUUUUAUACUUUGGACAAAAUUUGAGUUUUAGCAUUACAACUAAUGUCCAUAGACACAUGAUGCAAAUUGGGCAUGAAUGUCACAUUUAAAUUGGCAUGAGUUAAGGUUUAAAAUGUAAAUUUACAGCGGCUAUAGAAUUUCUUGGAUCUCACCAAAACAAAAAAGUUUGUCCAUGCAAUCUGAGAAUGAAAUUUUCAGCUGCGAUAUAAUUUCUUGGAUCUUACCAAAUAGUUUAUGGGAUGUGAAUAUUUUCCAUUUUUAGCUUAUCUUUGAGUAAGGAAUUUUGAUGAAUUUAUAAUUACUCCUCUGUUUUUUGGUGUUUUGAGGCGAUUGGAGCUAAAGAUGGAGAAGUUUUUGAGACUUUUAGACUUAUUGGACCUCUCAAGGUUGAUGUGGUAAGGAGUUUAUGGAGUUACACGUAUAGUAGUCAAAUUGUUCUCUAUGUUCUGUAGAAUAUAAUUUACUGGUAAUACUUUCUGCUGGUAUGAGUUACAACUGUUAAUUUUACUCUGAGUAGGAAUUUUUGAAUGACAAACUGCAAGAAGGUUUUCUUAAAUGAAUACGAUGUACCAUGAAACUAGAUGAAGUUUAUGGUCUUAUAUUCUUUUUUCACAAUAUCGUUAUAAGUUUCUAUAACACUCAUUGGUUAUUUAAACAGCAUCUGAUGGCAAGAAAUGAAAAUGUAAUGAGUGUGGAAUAUCAUGUUUAUGACGUCUUAGUGAUUAAGAAAAAACUUUACAUGUGCAAUUAUUAAAAGAUAUCUAAUUGCGUAACAAUCAGUUUUUUCGGCUAGGUUUUCAAGUUAUUUCACGAUUCUCUCUCUCUCUCUCUCUCUCUCUCUCUCUCUCUCUCUCUCUCUCUCUCUCUCUCUCUCUCUCUCUCUCUCUCUCUUCUCUUUAUUUUUUUUAAUUACAUGUAAUAGUUUAUGGUCAAUGUGAUUCCGUAUCUAUUUGAUUAAUUAUAUUCUUAGAUUACGUAGGAAGAGUAGCAAGUAGCAAUGAUGAUGCUUUUUAAGUCAGUUACUCUUCUUAUUACAGACAAAAUCAUUGAGAUAAUAGCCUUGCAUAUAACAUCCUUUCAGAAUCAAUCCAUAUGUCCAUAUUGGUAAGCAUUGUUUGCCUAUUUUUCUUUUAUUAUAUAUUUUCAAAGUGUAGUAUUUUGACCAACAAUUUGUUACUACAAGGGAAUUAGAUUUUUUAUACGUAAAUAACUUUUUUAAAGUGUUAAUUAAAAUGGUUAAUUGAUGGUUAUUACUUACCUUGCAUAUUCUUGCUUAUUAUUUACUAUGCACAUGCAUAUUCAUGUUAUACUAAGUAUAAUGUUCACUGUCAUUCACUUAUUUACCGGAUAUUUAACAAUAUUUUUUUCUUUCCAUUUUUUUCUCACGCUGAAGUGUUAAGCAACAAGCAAUAUAAACUUACACAAAUUUGGUUUUUUCAUUGUUAAUCUACUGAUGCUAGGGAUAAUUUGAGCUUUUACAUUCUUUUGAACAUUUUUCAUAGUUAACUUGCAGGAUCACUAUCAUUGUACACUUUUCCGCAACUGUUUGUUAUGUCUUUCUCCCUUCCUUUGUGUAAUUUUAGUCAAUUGAACUACUCUUUUUAACUUAAGAUUGAACUGAAGUGCUAAGAACUUAGUUAAAUAAAAGUUUACAUUGGUUUGAUGACAUUUAGGUGUUCAGUGUUGAGUGCAUGAUUAUUAGGUCCACAACUAUUAGAUACAUGAUCUUUCAUAUGUUUUAACUAUAACAUAUCAUAAUCCCGCAACAUCACGUAGGUAGCACUUUCUAGUUGAUAUCUAAAGAAAGGAAAAAAAUCACCCUUCCUCUUGCUUGUAUUUUGACUUGGUGUGGGACAUGCAUGCAGCUAGUGCAGUAAUAAAUAAUAAUUAACCAUUCUUUCCUAAAAGAAAAAAAAAGCCCAUUAGGCAUUAGCAUUGAGCUUGAGGGAUAGAGCAUAAAAACACAGAUAUUUGCACUCCAAAAAUAUGUCAAGUUAUCAGAGAGACGAGCUAAAGAUUCAUUUUCAAAAUACCGAUAUCGUCUCCAACUUGUUAAUUAUCACCUGCACAGUCUGAUAGAAGCAGGAUUGUAGCCCAAAAGGCCUCUGUAUUAGUUGGAAUGGAAUUGGGAUAUUUAAACUCCUAUUUCAUGUCUCUAGCUGAUGUGGGAUAUUUCAACAAAAUAAUCAGCAACCACGUGGAGCCAAGGGAACUCAUCCAACACAUGGGGUCAAGGGACCCACCAUCAUCACGCAGGACCAAGGGACCCAUCCAUCACGUGACAGUACGAGCUCGCUUUCUGGUUUUGAUAUGUUAGAUUAUCAAAGAGACGAGCCAAAGGUCCACUUCCAACCAUACCGAUAUUGUCCCUGAUAACUCAUAUAUUUUAUGCAUCUAUACCAUCCAUUCCUAGUCUCUUUGUGAUAUUUUUGAGUUAAACUGGUUGCAUUUACCCUGUUUUGUUAAUGUGCAGUUAAUUGUAUUUUAAAGUCUAUUUGAGGGCAAAUGAGGCAAAAUGGUGCUGAAAGUGGAGAAUUCAAUAAGGAUUCUGUUGUAGAAAUAUUCAAAGUUAACAAUUGAAUAUGGUGAUGAAUAUGGCCCUUUAAGAGACCAAUAACAUAAAGGAAAAAAAAUUAAAAAAAAAUGUUUGAAAUAAAGGCUCAAUUACUGAGAUGUGUUAAGAUUCUGUAACAGCCACUUUUACCUUAUAAAAUCUAGCCUUCAACCAUUUUUACACAAGACUUAUCUUGGGGACGCCCAGAGCUAUCUCUUCUCUUUCUUUGGCCUUUCUUCCAGAACAAAACCUUAUUUUCCUUCACCAUUUGCUGCCAUCAAAGAACGUUUGAAUAAAGAUUCUGCUGUAGAGAGAGAUUUAAAGUGAAUAGUUGAAUAUGGUGAUGAAUAUGACCUUUUAAGUAGUGUUCUAAAAAAUGCCCUAGGCAGCUGCCUGGGUAGCUCCUAAGCGCUGGACGAUGGAGUGCCUCUGGGAUUUAUGCCAAAUCGUUCAUAAAAUUGGGUACUUAGUCGGCCACCUAGGCAUUAUUUAGGGGUGGUAAGUAGUUGUCUAGGCGGCCUUGUCGGAGCCUUGGCGGUUCUCCAUUUUGUUGCGAUAUCAUGAGAAGAGAGAGAGCGGACUGGAAAUCUUUGGAAUACAUACAAACUCCACUUGAUCGUUGAAAGAACCCACCCUAGAUUACUUCAUAAAAUGCUUUUUGACAAGCGGGCCAUGCCGAUGUUGCUUGAUAGUUGGGUAUUUUGGAAUUCUUUCGGGUUUUUGGGUUGAAGGUUGGGGGGUUUGAAGUAGAUUUUGGAGGUGGUGGGAGAGGUCUGAU